ACGACACGUUUUUGCCAUUUCCAUUUGCCAGUCACAGUUUCUCUCUCCCUCUCUGUUAUUUAUUGUUUUCAUAAUUUAAUUAUUUGCUUAAGAAAUAAUGUGAAUAAUAAUGGAAUAACAACGUAGCAACUGAUGAAUAAUAAAUUAAUAAUGAUCAAAUAUUAUAUAUAUUCAUAAGAUAAGGAAUCGACAGUCCUUUAGAAACGUGGCCUCGCGUGUCGCGAUAAUUGCAUGAAAAUCCUCAUCCGUCGUCAGUCCGCGCAAAAA
Long non-coding RNA from Pogonomyrmex barbatus (red harvester ant), 267 nucleotides. Lineage: Eukaryota; Metazoa; Arthropoda; Insecta; Hymenoptera; Formicidae. The record is from RefSeq and is a predicted model, not a curated record.